RNAcentral lists this ribosomal RNA (389 nucleotides) under uncultured bacterium. RNAcentral's name for it is "bacterial SSU rRNA". It matches the Rfam family "Bacterial small subunit ribosomal RNA", at positions 975 to 1368 of the family's 1533-position model. RNAcentral also lists the same sequence under 1 other name. The record is from RNAcentral.
CUACCCUUGACAUGUACGGAAGCCACGAGAGAUCGAGGUGUGCUCGAAAGAGAGCCGUAACACAGGUGCUGCAUGGCUGUCGUCAGCUCGUGUCGUGAGAUGUUGGGUUAAGUCCCGCAACGAGCGCAACCCUUGUCAUUAGUUGCUACGAAAGAGCACUCUAAUGAGACUGCCGGUGACAAACCGGAGGAAGGUGGGGAUGACGUCAAGUCCUCAUGGCCCUUAUGGGUAGGGCUUCACACGUCAUACAAUGGUACAUACAGAGGGCCGCCAACCCGCGAGGGGGAGCUAAUCCCAGAAAGUGUAUCGUAGUCCGGAUUGUAGUCUGCAACUCGACUACAUGAAGUUGGAAUCGCUAGUAAUCGCGGAUCAGCAUGUCGCGGUGAAUA